GAUGCAUACAAAUUAGUGCGCCAUUGGACCUAUUUGAUAAUUUCUGCAUAAGCGAGGCUCACGUUGCCUAGGUAUUAUGUGGGUCUCACUUUUUUGUGAUUUUUUUCUUUCUAUAAAGGUGAAACUCUCCGUAUUUUGUUUGAAUUUGAUGGGGAUGUUUUCAGAUUUGUCACCUUUCUUUGUCACUUGAGCCCAUUUUUGCGAUAUUCCCUUUUCUUAAAAUGUAAAAUGGACACUCUCCGUAUUCUCUUUGGUCAAACAAAAUUUGAUGUUAACUGUAAUUUCAAUCUAUGAACGAACAAGUUUCCCAUCCAAUUGAGAAAAUAGUCGGCACAUGGAAAGCUCCAGAUUCCAGCAUGUAUAGAUGGUCAUUUUUUUGUGUUAGUUGUAAUUUCAAUCUAUGAACGAACAAUUUUCCCAAAUUUUUUGAUGGACCAAAUUUAGAAGGAAAAUUCUUUUCUACUAAAAUUUUCAUACAAAUUCACUUAAUUAGAAUGAUGUGGUAGUAAAUUUUUUUGAAAUUUAGAAUCAUCUUGGUGGGUUUUUUUUUUUUUUUUUUAAUGAUAAUUUGAGAAUUCAACUAUAUUGUUCUGUACGUAUUUUUUUAUUUGUAUAUCAUUACUCAAUUUAAAAAUGAAGUUGUAAGGAUUGGAGUUAAUUGUUAGGGACUUUGAAAGGAGAUAACUGCUUUGGUGUCUAAAAGAUUUUGGAAUGUAGUGGAGAUAGAUCAUGUGGAGGAACUGAAUUCUUGGAAUCAGUGGUGAACAUCAAUCAAAUUGGGAUUACACUACAUAAUAAGAAAUAUACAUGUUACUUUAAGCCUAAACAGAGCCAGACUAGCAUCAACCUAAUUUAGUCAUUCAAAAUUUAGCAGAAAAGAAUUAUUAAAUCCAAGUCCACCCGCUUAAUAUAUAUUAACUAUUAUCGUCAACCCACUAAUUUAGUCACACUUUGAAUAGAUAUUUAUAUUUGAGCCUAAAAAAAUUAUUAUGUUUAUUCUUUUAUUUCUAAACAAAUAGAGUUAUACAUCAGAGAAAAAGAGAUUAAACACAGAAUAAUUUAUUGUAUUAAUAAUUGUUUGGUCUUGAAAUAUUUGGUUUUUGUUAGGUUUUGCAUUUAUUAGAGGAAGAGGAGUCAUUCGUUUGCUAUGAACUUGAGGACACAAUGUUGGACAUUCAACUGAUGUUUUUGAAGGGAAUCCUGAUGAAGUGGUUGAUAAUUACAGUGGUAGAAGAGAAAGGAGCAACAGAGAACCAGGUGUAAGAGAGUAAUACAUCAACAAGUGAACAUGAAAUUAAGAAUGCUUAGACCAGGAUGAAUCUUUUAGGUGUUGCAAUAGACAAUGAAGUCAUGGAAAUAAGGGAUUCUUCCAACAGCUUAUUUUAGGGUUUUGUUUACGGGUCAUUUGUUUGCAGGUCAUUUUUUCUCUCUAUCUAAUUUUUUGGCUUGCUAAUCAAACAGCUUCUGUGAACUAGUUGUUGGCCUAGGUGUCUCAACCCGCUACGGUGCCUCUGUCCUCCACCGUCGAGAAUAUGAUGAGUUAGCCACCAUGUCUUCCCAAAGCAAACGUAGAGAAUCCCUAAUUUGAUGAAACUGUAAAUCUUCAAUUUUUUUUCCAACACUGUUGGCAACAGAUGACGUCUAUGGUCUCCAAGUACUGAUAUAGUUAAAAUUUGAAGUAUAUUUCCACUAUAUUUUGCGAAAAAGGGAUUGUAAUCUUUUCAAUUUAGUACAGAUAUGCAGGGAUAAGGAUGCUAAACCUCAAAAAUGGGAAUUUGUAGCACCAUUGAAAGGGUUAGUGAAUAGAAUCUUCACAGAAUUGAUUUGUUUCAAAGGGCCCUGCUAGGAUUCGUUCUCAGUUAUUAAAAUAAAGUAAAAAAUAAAAAAUAAAAAAAAGAAGAAAAAGAAGAAGAAAAGUUUAGAUAGUUCUGCACAAUAUUAGACACCUUUAUUGGAUGUAGUCUAAGUAUUGUAACAUGCUUUUUGUGAUUAUGCACUGAAGUUACAUGAAAGAGACCAUAUAUUACAUUUAGCUACUAGCCUACUACAAUUUGAUGUAGAAUGAAUAUUUUACUAUAUUAUUAGUAUUUUCUAACUUUCAGAGCAUUUAUAUUGUAGAAUGAAUAUUUUACUAUAUUUUUCAUUCAAAUUUUAAUUUAUUGUUUUUUUGUUUUGUUUUUUUUAAUUGUUGGGUUUUGAUUGUUGUGAAAUAGUAAAUCUACAAUUUUUUUUGUUCCAUAUAAUUUAUUAUUUUUGUUUUUUUUUAAUUGUUGGGUUUUUUUACAGUUUAUUUAUUAUUAUAAUUUUUUUCAUGAUUUUGCUGUUCAAAUUUGGUACCACUGUUCAAUUUCAUGAUUUUGUUAUUUUACUAUGAAGUUGAGGGCUUAGUUGAAGUGCUCUGUUUCUAUAAAUUUUCAGAAUUUGGAGUUUAUUCGGUGUAUUUAGUUUCAUGUCUUCAUUUAGGAAAUCGUCAGGUUUGGUAUCAAGAUCACUGACAUUUGUAUGUGUAUGAAUUUUUUUGUUCAUGUCUUUGUUCAAUUUCAUGAUUUUGCUGUGAAAUUUGGCUCUUUUUUCCCAGAUUUCUUUAUUCCAGCCACAAUCACAUCAUCGGUGUACCGCUGUUCAAAGAUUUCUUUGUUCCAGCCACAACCACAUCAUCGCUGUACCACUGUUCAAAGUUUGAAGUGUUGGUAUAGGGUUUGCUGACUUCUUUCAGGUAUAAUUUUUUGUAUGUGUAUGAUUUUUUGAGGGCUUAGUUGAAGUGCUGGUAAAGUUGGUGUUUUCUGAAUUUAGUUGAAGUGCUUGGUUGGAUUUUCUAUAAAUUGGUGUAUUGAGUUCAAUGUCUUCGUUUAAGAAUUUUUUUUCUUCCUGUGAAUUCACUCCCUACUCUUUGAAAAGAAAAAAAAAA
This is a non-coding RNA of Camellia sinensis, 2908 nucleotides long. Lineage: Eukaryota; Viridiplantae; Streptophyta; Magnoliopsida; Ericales; Theaceae. The record is from RefSeq and is a predicted model, not a curated record.